This 301-nucleotide ribosomal RNA is filed under the name uncultured bacterium. RNAcentral describes it as "partial 16S ribosomal RNA". It matches the Rfam family "Bacterial small subunit ribosomal RNA", at positions 509 to 807 of the family's 1533-position model. The record is from RNAcentral.
CAGCCGCCGCGGGAAUACGAGGGGAGCUAGCGUUAUUCGGAAUUACUGGGCGUAAAGCGCACGUAGGCGGCUUUGUAAGUUAGAGGUGAAAGCCCAGAGCUCAACUCUGGAAUUGCCUUUAAGACUGCAUCGCUUGAAUCCAGGAGAGGUGAGUGGAAUUCCGAGUGUAGAGGUGAAAUUCGUAGAUAUUCGGAAGAACACCAGUGGCGAAGGCGGCUCACUGGACUGGUAUUGACGCUGAGGUGCGAAAGCGUGGGGAGCAAACAGGAUUAGAUACCCCAGUAGUCCCUGUCUCUUAUAC